RNAcentral lists this ribosomal RNA (433 nucleotides) under uncultured bacterium. RNAcentral's name for it is "partial 16S ribosomal RNA". It matches the Rfam family "Bacterial small subunit ribosomal RNA", at positions 29 to 507 of the family's 1533-position model. The record is from RNAcentral.
AACGAACGCUGGCGGCAUGCCUAACACAUGCAAGUCGAACGAGACCUUCGGGUCUAGUGGCGCACGGGUGCGUAACGCGUGGGAACCUGCCCUUAGGUUCGGAAUAACUCCCCGAAAGGGGUGCUAAUACCGGAUAAUGUCUUCGGACCAAAGAUUUAUCGCCUUUGGAUGGGCCCGCGUUGGAUUAGCUAGUUGGUAGGGUAAAAGCCUACCAAGGCGACGAUCCAUAGCUGGUCUGAGAGGAUGAUCAGCCACACUGGGACUGAGACACGGCCCAGACUCCCUCGGGAAGCAGGCAUGGGGGAUAUUUGACAAUGGGCCAAAGGCUGAUCCAGCCAUGCCGGGGGAGUGAUUAAGGGCUUUAGGUUUUAAAGCUCUUUUUCCCGGGAUUGUAAUGAAAGUACCGGGGGAAUAAGCCCCGGCUAACUCCGUG